This 449-nucleotide ribosomal RNA is filed under the name uncultured bacterium. RNAcentral describes it as "partial 16S ribosomal RNA". It matches the Rfam family "Bacterial small subunit ribosomal RNA", at positions 338 to 795 of the family's 1533-position model. The record is from RNAcentral.
CCUACGGGGGGCUGCAGUGGGGAAUUUUGGACAAUGGGCGCAAGCCUGAUCCAGCCAUGCCGCGUGCAGGAUGAAGGCCUUCGGGUUGUAAACUGCUUUUGUACGGAACGAAAAGGUGCCUUCUAAUAAAGGGCGCUCAUGACGGUACCGUAAGAAUAAGCACCGGCUAACUACGUGCCAGCAGCCGCGGUAAUACGUACGGAAUGAGCGGGCGUCGGAAUUGCGGAGGCGGUUUUGUGAGACAGAGGUGAAAUCCCCGGGCUCAACCUGGGAACUGCCGUUGUGACUGCAAGGCUGGAGUGCGGCAGAGGGGGAUGGAAUUCCGCGUGUAGCAGUGAAAUGCGUAGAUAUGCGGAGGAACACCGAUGGCGAAGGCAAUCCCCUGGGCCUGCACUGACGCUCAUGCACGAAAGCGUGGGGAGCAAACAGGAUUAGAUACCCUAGUAGUC